Molecule: ribosomal RNA, 640 nt
Filed under: Bacillus subtilis
Lineage: Bacteria; Bacillati; Bacillota; Bacilli; Caryophanales; Bacillaceae
Description: bacterial SSU rRNA
Rfam family: Bacterial small subunit ribosomal RNA
Source: RNAcentral
AGGGGGCAACGCUGGCGGCGUGCUAUACAUGCAAGUCGAGCGGACAGAUGGGAGCUUGCUCCCUGAUGUUAGCGGCGGACGGGUGAGUAACACGUGGGUAACCUGCCUGUAAGACUGGGAUAACUCCGGGAAACCGGGGCUAAUACCGGAUGGUUGUUUGAACCGCAUGGUUCAAACAUAAAAGGUGGCUUCGGCUACCACUUACAGAUGGACCCGCGGCGCAUUAGCUAGUUGGUGAGGUAACGGCUCACCAAGGCAACGAUGCGUAGCCGACCUGAGAGGGUGAUCGGCCACACUGGGACUGAGACACGGCCCAGACUCCUACGGGAGGCAGCAGUAGGGAAUCUUCCGCAAUGGACGAAAGUCUGACGGAGCAACGCCGCGUGAGUGAUGAAGGUUUUCGGAUCGUAAAGCUCUGUUGUUAGGGAAGAACAAGUACCGUUCGAAUAGGGCGGUACCUUGACGGUACCUAACCAGAAAGCCACGGCUAACUACGUGCCAGCAGCCGCGGUAAUACGUAGGUGGCAAGCGUUGUCCGGAAUUAUUGGGCGUAAAGGGCUCGCAGGCGGUUUCUUAAGUCUGAUGUGAAAGCCCCCGGCUCAACCGGGGAGGGUCAUUGGAGACUGGGGAACUUGAGUGC